This is a long non-coding RNA of Pseudophryne corroboree (corroboree frog), 1439 nucleotides long. RefSeq lists it as uncharacterized. The transcript has 3 exons. The record is from RefSeq and is a predicted model, not a curated record. NCBI's taxonomy places the organism in Eukaryota, Metazoa, Chordata, Amphibia, Anura, Myobatrachidae.
GCACGCUCUCGCUCUGUCUCAGGCCUGCACAAACUCCUGGCUGUGUUGCACUUUAUGGCUACUGGGAGCUUCCAGGCUGUGACUGGUGAUGUAAUUGGUAUCUCCCAGCCAACCUUUUCAAAAUAUUUAAAUCAGGUGAGUUGAAACAUACAUACACGUCUAUGUCUAAGUGUUGCUUCUGUUAUGUGUUAUAACACAGUAUUGUAUUGCUUACAGAUCAUGACACUCACCUUAUAUUUUGUAAUGUCCACUCAGGUUUUGGAUGUCUUGGAACCCCACAUAGAUGCCUCUGUCUGCUUCCCUACCCAGGAGUCGCAGUGGCAUGCAGUCAGGGUAGCUUUCUAUGAGCUUGCUGGCAUGCCCAAUGUGCUGGGUGCCAUAGAUUGCACACACGUUGAGCUGAGACCACCUAGGGGCAGGCAAUAUAUUUAUACAAAUAGACAUAUGGGCCAAUCCACUAAUGUCCAGGUGGUUUGUGAUGCAAAUCUAAAAAUUAUGAGUGUGGUUGCAGGUUACCCUGGCGGCUGCCAUGACUCCUUCAUCCUCAGUCAGUCAUCCCUCUUCGAUAAGUUUGAGGACGGACAAAUGCCUGAUGGCUGGCUGCUGGGUGAUGGUGGUUAUGGCUGCUACUCUUGGCUCCUUACUCCAUUGUCCCAACCUGAUUCUCCUGCUGAACACAAUUAUAAUAAUGCACAUAAGUCUACGCAGAAUGUGAUAGAAAGAUGUUUUGGGGUGCUGAAAUCUAGGUUUCGGUGUCUGGAUAAGUCUGCUGGGCUUUUGUUGUAUAGUCCCUCAAAGGUGACUAGGAUUGUGUUCUGCUGCUGUUUUCUUCAUAACAUGUGUUUGCGCCAACAUCUGCCACAUGUUGGUGAUGAAGAAAACAGCCAGCAAGUAGGUGAGUUAGAUACAUCUGGUGACAGUGUGAGUACAGAUGUAGGGAGGCAGGUAAGGCAAGAAGUGAUUCGGCGUUAUUUUAACGACAGCUGAGGUGAUUGUGGAUCCUCGCUUUGUGGACUGGCCAAAAUUGCUUGUGGUGGCAGGGACGACACUGCGGAGAUGUGCCGUUGGGGUGGUGAUGAUGGUGCUGCUGAUUCAGCCUCAAGACGGCGUCUCUUGGUUGGCCUCCUAGGCACAGUCACCGAGCCCUGUGUUGGCCGCCUCAGUGGAGGGGGGUUUGCAGAAGAAGAACCUAUGUGAUAAGAGAAACAUUAACAUUUUGUGUUUCUAUGUAUUUGAAGAAUAUGUGUUUACAGUUAAAUCUUACCUGCAUUCCCACCAUCUGCAUCACUUGGCAGUGUUGGAUGUGGCCUGGCUGUGCUGCUUCUCUUUCGUACUGAAAAAAUAUGAAGAAUGACCUUAUCAACAUACUAUUUUUUAUCAAUGUUUUUGCAAAAUCCUUAUUGUGAUGUAAACAUAUGUUGAACCUGAUGAUAAGUAAA